UAAAUGGCCAUGAGAUAUGUUAAUAUCCCCUUUUUCUGUGUUCAGAGCUUACCAAAGCAAUAGCAAACCUUGCAAAACCAUGAAAGAAACCACAAAUAUAUGCGACAUGGAUUCGGGUUCUUAACUCUGAUAAAACUCCGGGUGGAUCCAGUGAAAUUAUUGCACCUGCUCCAGAAGGGAAUUCUGCGGGGAGAAAAGAGAGUCAGUGUGUGAAAUUGGAUAUUUUGAAGCGGCAGAGGGGAGGAAGAAUUUCCCCAGUGCGCACCUCUGGGUACCCUCCUACCACCGACAUCAAAAGAAGCGAGCCGGUCGGUCAGAUAUAACGCUUGAUGAACAGAACACAGACCGAAGAUGACAAGAGGGAAGUUUACAAGGAGGUUUUACACGACAUAGGAGAUUUCAUUCACCACCAGCGACAACACAGUCUCCCCCAGCGUGUCCAAGCACGGACUGUCAGACCGGUGCGUUUUACGCAUAUCCUUUCCAGGCGUGCAGCAGAAAUAAAAUUGGACCUGGACGGGGAUGGGAAGAGGAUGGAACCUGCAGCCCUGACAGCACUGAUGCACUACUCGUUGAGCCAUGUAGAACCACACCUGUCUCCGUAAUGCAGUGGUGAGGCAGGUCUGGUGCCAGAGGGACUUUUCUUCCACGUAUGGAGGACCUCGCAGUGGGGAGCAGAGACACCCCCCAAAGUGUUAUAUCAGCAUCUGCAGGGAAACGCCAAUCCGAGCAGCAGCAUCGGCAUGAGCCAUCGAGCCAGCUAUCGCUUCUGAAACGCAACACCAACUCCAAUAGUGCUGAGAUAGCUCAAGAGAAAAGGCACAAUGCGCUGUGCUACUGUAAAUGUAUGUGUGCUUAAAAUGCAUGCACAUGUCAGCUACAGAGUGGUCACAACUCAAGAGUC
Molecule: long non-coding RNA, 904 nt
Organism: Oreochromis aureus
Lineage: Eukaryota; Metazoa; Chordata; Actinopteri; Cichliformes; Cichlidae
Source: Ensembl